AUUGAACGCUGGCGGCAUGCUUUACACAUGCAAGUCGAACGGCAGCGCGGGGCAACCUGGCGGCGAGUGGCGAACGGGUGAGUAAUAUAUCGGAACGUACCCAAGAGUGGGGGAUAACGUAGCGAAAGUUACGCUAAUACCGCAUACGAUCUCAGGAUGAAAGUGGGGGACCGCAAGGCCUCAUGCUCCUGGAGCGGCCGAUAUCUGAUUAGCUAGUUGGNGAGGUAAAGGCUCACCAAGGCGACGAUCAGUAGCUGGUCUGAGAGGACGACCAGCCACACUGGGACUGAGACACGGCCCAGACUCCUACGGGAGGCAGCAGUGGGGAAUUUUGGACAAUGGGCGCAAGCCUGAUCCAGCAAUGCCGCGUGAGUGAAGAAGGCC
RNAcentral lists this ribosomal RNA (384 nucleotides) under uncultured bacterium. RNAcentral's name for it is "bacterial SSU rRNA". It matches the Rfam family "Bacterial small subunit ribosomal RNA", at positions 29 to 416 of the family's 1533-position model. The record is from RNAcentral.